GAAGGACAGAUGGACGGACGGAUGGAAUUUAUUAGGGGAAUUGGCUCAUUUAAUUAUGGAGGUUGAAAAGUCCCCACAAUAGUCUAUUUGCAAGCUGGAUACCCUGGGAUGCCAGUAGUAUGGCUCAGUGGAAGUCUGAAGGCCUGAGGACAAGGGGAACCAAAGGAGGAAAAUGGAUUGCAGAAAACGAAGACAAAACAGUCGAAUAGAGCAAAGUGUUU
This 221-nucleotide small RNA is filed under the name Pan troglodytes (chimpanzee). RNAcentral describes it as "processed transcript". The record is from RNAcentral. Lineage: Eukaryota; Metazoa; Chordata; Mammalia; Primates; Hominidae.